Molecule: ribosomal RNA, 440 nt
Filed under: uncultured bacterium
Lineage: Bacteria
Description: partial 16S ribosomal RNA
Rfam family: Bacterial small subunit ribosomal RNA
Source: RNAcentral
CCUACGGGAGGCUGCAGUGGGGAAUAUUGCACAAUGGGGGAAACCCUGAUGCAGCAACGCCGCGUGAGUGAAGAAGUAUCUCGGUAUGUAAAGCUCUAUCAGCAGGGAAGAAAAUGACGGUACCUGACUAAGAAGCCCCGGCUAACUACGUGCCAGCAGCCGCGGUAAUACGUAGGGGGCAAGCGUUAUCCGGAUUUACUGGGUGUAAAGGGAGCGUAGACGGUGUGGCAAGUCUGAAGUGAAAGCCCGGGGCUCAACCCCGGGACUGCUUUGGAAACUGUCAUGCUGGAGUGCGGGAGAGGUAAGCGGAAUUCCUAGUGUAGCGGUGAAAUGCGUAGAUAUUAGGAGGAACACCAGUGGCGAAGGCGGCUUACUGGACAGUAACUGACGUUGAGGCUCGAAAGCGUGGGGAGCAAACAGGAUUAGAUACCCUAGUAGUC